CUACGGCCAUACCACCCUGAACACGCCCGAUCUCGUCUGAUCUCGGAAGCUAAGCAGGGUCGGGCCUGGUUAGUACUUGGAUGGGAGAACUCCCGCAAUUCCUAACAGCCUAAAAGU
Anolis carolinensis (green anole) is the source of this 117-nucleotide non-coding RNA. NCBI's taxonomy places the organism in Eukaryota, Metazoa, Chordata, Lepidosauria, Squamata, Anolidae. The record is from Rfam.